GCCUUCGUGGUGUAAUGGUUAGCACACUCGGCGCGUAUUCUAGAGGUGCAGGUUCCAGUCCCGUCGAUGGCA
This 72-nucleotide transfer RNA is filed under the name Stegodyphus mimosarum. It matches the Rfam family "tRNA". Rfam says of the family: Transfer RNA (tRNA) molecules are approximately 80 nucleotides in length. Their secondary structure includes four short double-helical elements and three loops (D, anti-codon, and T loops). The record is from Rfam by way of RNAcentral. Lineage: Eukaryota; Metazoa; Arthropoda; Arachnida; Araneae; Eresidae.